GACGAACGCUGGCGGCGUGCUUAACACAUGCAAGUCGAACGGAAAGGCCCUGCUUUUGUGGGGUGCUCGAGUGGCGAACGGGUGAGUAACACGUGAGUAACCUGCCCUUGACUUUGGGAUAACUUCAGGAAACUGGGGCUAAUACCGGAUAGGAGCUCCUGCUGCAUGGUGGGGGUUGGAAAGUUUCGGCGGUUGGGGAUGGACUCGCGGCUUAUCAGCUUGUUGGUGGGGUAGUGGCUUACCAAGGCUUUGACGGGUAGCCGGCCUGAGAGGGUGACCGGCCACAUUGGGACUGAGAUACGGCCCAGACUCCUACGGGAGGCAGCAGUGGGGAAUAAUGCACAAUGGGCGGAAGCCUGAUGCAGCAACGCCGCGUGCGGGAUGACGGCCGUCGGGUUGUAAGCCGCUUUCGCCUGUGACGAAGCGUGAGUGACGGUAAUGGGUAAAGAAGCACCGGCUAACUACGUG
RNAcentral lists this ribosomal RNA (468 nucleotides) under uncultured bacterium. RNAcentral describes it as "partial 16S ribosomal RNA". It matches the Rfam family "Bacterial small subunit ribosomal RNA", at positions 28 to 507 of the family's 1533-position model. The record is from RNAcentral.